UACGGAGGGUGCAAGCGUUAUCCGGAUUCACUGGGUUUAAAGGGUGCGUAGGUGGGCUAGUAAGUCAGUGGUGAAAUCUCCGGGCUUAACCCGGAAACUGCCAUUGAUACUAUUAGUCUUGAAUACCAUGGAGGUGAGCGGAAUAUGUCAUGUAGCGGUGAAAUGCUUAGAUAUGACACAGAACACCGAUUGCGUAGGCAGCUCUCUAAACUGUAACUGACGCUGAGGCACGAAAGCGUGGGGAGCAAACAGG
Molecule: ribosomal RNA, 253 nt
Filed under: uncultured bacterium
Lineage: Bacteria
Description: partial 16S ribosomal RNA
Rfam family: Bacterial small subunit ribosomal RNA
Source: RNAcentral